GCAAAGAUUCUCGAUUUGGUCAAUGGUAUCAUUCGAAUCGAGGUAUCGUUUUAGCUUAGCCGAGAGAGUCUCUUCAAAUUAAGAUAUCAACUUGUCCGAGAAUGCAGAAAACAACCUUUCUUUUUAUCGUCAUAUUUUGUCAGGUAUUAAAGACAUGUUUUACGUGUACUGAUCUACAAAGAACAAUCACCUAUGUUCCGGAUUGCCCUCGUUCUGAAGCAGAGUGGAAUGUAGCAGCUAUACGUAAGAAAUGUGACUCCGUCUGUCCCACAUCAAGGUAUCACUGUCUCAUCACCAAGGAGAUGAAUGCUAUCAUAGAAGUCUGCGCUGUACCGAUGUUCAUGCAAGGUAAUUAAGAAUAGACUGUAUAUAAGACCAGUAAUAAAUUUCAUC
This is a long non-coding RNA of Saccostrea cuccullata (small rock oyster), 393 nucleotides long. RefSeq lists it as uncharacterized. The record is from RefSeq and is a predicted model, not a curated record. The transcript has 3 exons. NCBI's taxonomy places the organism in Eukaryota, Metazoa, Mollusca, Bivalvia, Ostreida, Ostreidae.